CGACCGGCGCACGGGUGAGUAACACGUAUCCAACCUGCCGUCUACUCUUGGACAGCCUUCUGAAAGGAAGAUUAAUACAAGAUGGCAUCAUGAGUCCGCAUGUUCACAUGAUUAAAGGUAUUCCGGUAGACGAUGGGGAUGCGUUCCAUUAGAUAGUAGGCGGGGUAACGGCCCACCAAGUCUUCGAUGGAUAGGGGUUCUGAGAGGAAGGUCCCCCACAUUGGAACUGAGACACGGUCCAAACUCCUACGGGAGGCAGCAUG
This 263-nucleotide ribosomal RNA is filed under the name uncultured bacterium. Its description in RNAcentral is "partial 16S ribosomal RNA". It matches the Rfam family "Bacterial small subunit ribosomal RNA", at positions 92 to 353 of the family's 1533-position model. The record is from RNAcentral.